GAUGAACGCUGGCGGCGUGCCUAAUACAUGCAAGUCGAGCGAACGGACGAGAAGCUUGCUUCUCUGAUGUUAGCGGCGGACGGGUGAGUAACACGUGGAUAACCUACCUAUAAGACUGGGAUAACUUCGGGAAACCGGAGCUAAUACCGGAUAAUAUUUUGAACCGCAGGGUGCAAAAGUGAAAGACGGUCUUGCUGUCACUUAUAGAUGGAUCCGCGCUGCAUUGGCUAGUUGGUAAGGUAACGGCUUACCAAGGGAACGAUGCAUAGCCGACGUGAGGGGGGGAUAGGCCACACGGGAACUGAGACACGGUCCAUACUCCUACGGGAGGCAGCAGUAGGGAAUCGUCCGCAAUGGGCGAAAGCCUGACGGAGCAACGCCGCGUGAGUGAUGAAGGUCUUGGGAUCGUAAAACUCUGUUGUUAGGGAAGAACAUAUGUGUAAGUAACUGUGCACAGCUUGACGGUACCUAAUCAGAAAGCCACGGCUAACUACGUG
Molecule: ribosomal RNA, 497 nt
Filed under: uncultured bacterium
Lineage: Bacteria
Description: partial 16S ribosomal RNA
Rfam family: Bacterial small subunit ribosomal RNA
Source: RNAcentral